AUGCUCACUUUGGCAGCACCGAUACUAAAAUUGGAACCAUGCAGAGAAGAUUAGCAUGGCCCCCCUGCGCAAAGCGUUCCAUAUCUUUUUAAGGUGGAGCAGCGGUUG
Leucoraja erinaceus (little skate) is the source of this 108-nucleotide small nuclear RNA. NCBI's taxonomy places the organism in Eukaryota, Metazoa, Chordata, Chondrichthyes, Rajiformes, Rajidae. The record is from RefSeq and is a predicted model, not a curated record.